This 75-nucleotide transfer RNA is filed under the name Buccinum undatum (waved whelk). RNAcentral's name for it is "tRNA-Ile". The record is from RNAcentral. Lineage: Eukaryota; Metazoa; Mollusca; Gastropoda; Neogastropoda; Buccinidae.
AAUAGCACUACGCCGGAUGAACGGAAAUCAUUGAUGUUGAUUAAUAUGGGAUUAUAUCUGUCUCUAGUGCUAAAA